CUCAUUAAAUCAGUUAUCGUUUAUUUGAUAGUACCUUACUACUUGGAUACCCGUGGUAAUUCUAGAGCUAAUACAUGCAACAAACCCCAACUUCGGAAGGGGUGUAUUUAUUAGAUAAAAAACCAAUGCCCUUCGGGGCUCCUUGGUGAUUCAUAAUAACUUAACGGAUCGCAUGGCCUUGCGCCGGCGACGGUUCAUUCAAAUUUCUGCCCUAUCAACUUUCGAUGGUAAGGUAUUGGCUUACCAUGGUUUCAACGGGUAACGGAUUUUUAGGGAAAGAUCCCGGAGAGGGAGCCUGAGAAACGGCUACCACAUCCAAGGAAGGCAGCAGGCGCGCAAAUUACCCAAUCCCGACACGGGGAGGUAGUGACAAUAAAUACUGAUACAGGGCUCUUUUGGGUCUUGUAAUCGGAAUGAGUACAAUUUAAAUACCUUAACGAGGAACAAUUGGAGGGCAAGUCUGGUGCCAGCAGCCGCGGUAAUUCCAGCUCCAAUAGCGUAUAUUAAAGUUGUUGCAGUUAAAAAGCUCGUAGUUGAACCUUGGGCCUGGCUGGCCGGUCCGCCUCACCGCGUGUACUGGUCCGGCCGGGCCUUUCCUUCUGGAGAACCGCAUGCCCUUCACUGGGUGUGUCGGGGAACCAGGACUUUUACUUUGAGAAAAUUAGAGUGUUCAAAGCAGGCCUUUGCUCGAAUACGUUAGCAUGGAAUAAUAGAAUAGGACGUGCGGUCCUAUUUUGUUGGUUUCUAGAACCGCCGUAAUGAUUAAUAGGGAUAGUCGGGGGCGUCAGUAUUCAAUUGUCAGAGGUGAAAUUCUUGGAUCAAUUGAAGACUAACUACUGCGAAAGCAUUCGCCAAGGAUGUUUUCAUUAAUCAGUGAACGAAAGUUAGGGGAUCGAAGACGAUCAGAUACCGUCGUAGUCUUAACCGUAAACUAUGCCGACUAGGGAUCGGGCGAUGUUUCUAUCUUGACUCGCUCGGCACCUUACGAGAA
This 991-nucleotide ribosomal RNA is filed under the name Similroussoella jinghongensis. Its description in RNAcentral is "SSU rRNA". It matches the Rfam family "Eukaryotic small subunit ribosomal RNA", at positions 97 to 1096 of the family's 1831-position model. Lineage: Eukaryota; Fungi; Ascomycota; Dothideomycetes; Pleosporales; Thyridariaceae. The record is from RNAcentral.